AUGAAAGCCAUGCACGUAGAGAAGAGCCGUUGCGCUGCUGGAAUCCAGCAAACCUCUAGCAAUGCCCACAGAUUAAUGCGCUUUCUGCAAAGCUAUCUGCAGGUGUCAAGCCCAUGCCUGAGCUCUGCAGCAGCAACACCUCGAGUCACAACAUUCCUGUGCCCUGCAAACCUCUGGCACGCCACUCUGCUACAUCUUUCUUGCCUGAGUCUUCCUCUGAGCUCUGUUAUGGCUCUUAGAGGCAGAACAGAAUCCAAAGCAUAAUUGUGCAAAGUUGCAAGAACAGCAUUGAAAACUGCCUGGGGAACAAAAGCUGGAACUGUACGUGGAAGACAGAAUGAAGUCAUCGGCAAUCAUAUACUGAAAGCACCUGGAUUUUAUCAUUCUGACCUGGAGAUACACUCACGUUGGCUCUGGCCAGAAAUCCACCAGUCAGGGAGGGCUGGGCUUCAGGAUCAGUCCCCUGGAUAUUAGGUCUGUGCUGCUGCUCAUUUCAUGUUCGUAUCCCGUGUUAGACACCCUGCGCUGUGCAGAGGCUGCGUUACAUUAUCCUGCUGGUCCCUCCUGCUCCCCCCCCCCACAGCUCGGACCAAAAUUGUCUGCCUUACUUGGAAUUCAUUUCAAAAACAGAUUCAUGUGGUGCCUGCUAUUCCCCAAUAAACAAAUAAAUUAGCUGCUGUGAUAUGGAAAUUUGCAUGAUUCACUGUACUUAAAAACUGUUAGCUGUGAACUUAUUAAUUGAAAACCACAGGACGAUAAUAAGUGU
Long non-coding RNA from Cygnus olor (mute swan), 766 nucleotides. RefSeq lists it as uncharacterized. Lineage: Eukaryota; Metazoa; Chordata; Aves; Anseriformes; Anatidae. The transcript has 2 exons. The record is from RefSeq and is a predicted model, not a curated record.